This 756-nucleotide ribosomal RNA is filed under the name Serratia marcescens. RNAcentral's name for it is "bacterial SSU rRNA". It matches the Rfam family "Bacterial small subunit ribosomal RNA", at positions 56 to 802 of the family's 1533-position model. Lineage: Bacteria; Pseudomonadati; Pseudomonadota; Gammaproteobacteria; Enterobacterales; Yersiniaceae. The record is from RNAcentral.
UGCAGUCGAGCGGUAGCACAGGGGAGCUUGCUCCCUGGGUGACGAGCGGCGGACGGGUGAGUAAUGUCUGGGAAACUGCCUGAUGGAGGGGGAUAACUACUGGAAACGGUAGCUAAUACCGCAUAACGUCGCAAGACCAAAGAGGGGGACCUUCGGGCCUCUUGCCAUCAGAUGUGCCCAGAUGGGAUUAGCUAGUAGGUGGGGUAAUGGCUCACCUAGGCGACGAUCCCUAGCUGGUCUGAGAGGAUGACCAGCCACACUGGAACUGAGACACGGUCCAGACUCCUACGGGAGGCAGCAGUGGGGAAUAUUGCACAAUGGGCGCAAGCCUGAUGCAGCCAUGCCGCGUGUGUGAAGAAGGCCUUCGGGUUGUAAAGCACUUUCAGCGAGGAGGAAGGUGGUGAACUUAAUACGYUCAUCAAUUGACGUUACUCGCAGAAGAAGCACCGGCUAACUCCGUGCCAGCAGCCGCGGUAAUACGGAGGGUGCAAGCGUUAAUCGGAAUUACUGGGCGUAAAGCGCACGCAGGCGGUUUGUUAAGUCAGAUGUGAAAUCCCCGGGCUCAACCUGGGAACUGCAUUUGAAACUGGCAAGCUAGAGUCUCGUAGAGGGGGGUAGAAUUCCAGGUGUAGCGGUGAAAUGCGUAGAGAUCUGGAGGAAUACCGGUGGCGAAGGCGGCCCCCUGGACGAMGACUGACGCUCAGGUGCGAAAGCGUGGGGAGCAAACRGGAUUAGAUMCCCUGGKAGUCCACGCUG